RNAcentral lists this unclassified non-coding RNA (391 nucleotides) under soil metagenome. RNAcentral describes it as "partial contains 5.8S ribosomal RNA, internal transcribed spacer 2, and large subunit ribosomal RNA". The stretch from base 1 to 122 matches the Rfam family "5.8S ribosomal RNA", at positions 35 to 154 of the family's 154-position model. The record is from RNAcentral.
GAUGAAGAACGCAGCGAAAUGCGAUACUUGGUGUGAAUUGCAGAAUCCCGUGAACCAUCGAGUCUUUGAACGCAAGUUGCGCCCGAAGCCAUUAGGCCGAGGGCACGCCUGCCUGGGCGUCACACGUCGUUGCCCCCCCAUCUAAUCCUUCGGGAUUGCGGGGGGCGGAUGAUGGCCUCCCGUGCGCCUCGUCGCGCGGUUGGCAUAAAUGCCAAGUCCUCGGCGACGCACGCCACGACAAUCGGUGGUUGCGAAACCUCGGUUGCCCGUCGUGUGCGGUCGUCGCGCAUCGAGGGCUCGAAAAAAUUGCCGGGCUCCGGCUCGGCUUUCAACGCGACCCCAGGUCAGGCGGGGUUACCCGCUGAAUUUAAGCAUAUCAAUAAGCGGAGGA